GAGUUUGAUCGUGGCUCAGAACGAACGCUGGCGGCAUGCCUAACACAUGCAAGUCGAACGGGAUCCGAGCUUCGGUUCGGUGAGAGUGGCGGACGGGUGAGUAACGCGUGGGAACCUGCCCAGUGGUGGGGGAUAACUGCGGGAAACUGCAGCUAAUACCGCAUGAGCCCGAGAGGGGAAAGAUUUAUCGCCAUUGGAGGGGCCCGCGUUCGAUUAGGUAGUUGGUGAGGUAAAGGCUCACCAAGCCGACGAUCGAUAGCUGAUCUGAGAGGAUGAUCAGCCACACUGGGACUGAGAUACGGCCCAGACUCCUACGGGAGGCAGCAGUGGGGAAUAUUGGACAAUGGGGGCAACCCUGAUCCAGCAAUGCCGCGUGAGUGAUGAAGGCCUUC
Molecule: ribosomal RNA, 392 nt
Filed under: uncultured Alphaproteobacteria bacterium
Lineage: Bacteria; Pseudomonadati; Pseudomonadota; Alphaproteobacteria
Description: bacterial SSU rRNA
Rfam family: Bacterial small subunit ribosomal RNA
Source: RNAcentral